GGGGUUAUAGCUCAGUGGUAGAGCGCUCGUUUUGCACGUGAUUUCCUAAAUAGGAUAUCUCGAGAAAAUACGAGAGGUCUGGGGUUCGAUCCCCCAUAACUCCA
Molecule: non-coding RNA, 104 nt
Organism: Aspergillus nanangensis
Lineage: Eukaryota; Fungi; Ascomycota; Eurotiomycetes; Eurotiales; Aspergillaceae
Source: the annotation of a GenBank genome assembly